This 340-nucleotide long non-coding RNA is filed under the name Carica papaya (papaya). RNAcentral describes it as "long non-coding RNA (CPAP_LNC007182)". Lineage: Eukaryota; Viridiplantae; Streptophyta; Magnoliopsida; Brassicales; Caricaceae. The record is from RNAcentral.
ACCUUAAUCAAUUAUACAUUUAUAAAGUCACACAGUAUAGUUUAAUUAUUUAUUUAGUAUUAAUACCGUGAUAGGAAAUAGGGUGAGGGGUCUUUACUUAUUUUGGGGUCUGAAUUCGACUCUACAGUGUGCCUACAGGCUGUCCCUAAUUUCCCUGAAAUUUUUCUGGAAAACUGAAAUGCACUACCGGUACUUGCACGUGUCCCAAAAAAUUCCAAAUCAGACCUAGGGCCCCUUUCGGCCAAUAUCGGAAUUCUGGCACGGCGGCUCCGCCGCAAGCGGCGGUGAUUCACCUCGGGUUGGCCGUUUUUGGCUGAAUUCGUCACACUUGCAUCGAUCC